AUACAAGGGUGAAAGAAAACAAGAAAGAGCCACACCGCUAUCUCUAUCUCUACCCCAAUGCAAAACACUCUAUAAAUAUAAGCAACUACAUAGUUUGUGCCACUGCUUUGUUAAGGGUGUUGGUGUCUCUUGGGUGGCCUUGGUUUAACCAAGAUAAGAUCACUUAUGGCCACCUGCUUUGUUCUUUCUCGUCUUCUUUUCUUGCUUCUCACUCUUUCAGAUUCAGCUGUCAGGGUCCUUGGUGCUGGGCUUGGAAUUAACUAUGGUCAGAUUGCCAACAACCUUCCAUCUCCCUCUCGCGUUGCUGUGAUGCUUCAAUCCCUCAAUGUCAGCAGGUUAAAACUCUAUGAUGCUGAUCCGAAUGUCCUACUUGCGUUUUCCAAUUCAAAUGUUGAGUUCAUUAUUGGGCUCGGGAAUGAGUACCUUCAAGACAUGACUGAUCCCAUCAAAGCUCAAAAUUGGGUUCAACAACAUCUUCAACCCCAUAUAACUCAAACCAAAAUCACCUGCAUCACUGUCGGAAACGAGGUGUUCAUGAGCAAUGAUACUCGGUUAUGGUCAAAUCUCCUCCCGGCGAUGAAAAUGGUGUAUAGCACUCUCGUUAAUCUUGGAUUAGAUAAACAAGUGAUUGUCACCAGUGCACAUUCUUUUAAUAUCAUAGGAAAUUCUUACCCUCCUUCAUCCGGGACUUUUCGGCAAGAUCUUGCCGAAUACAUCCAGGCAAUCUUGAAUUUUCAUUCUCAAAUCAAGUCACCAUUCCUUAUCAAUGCAUAUCCUUUUUUUGCAUACAAGGAUAAUCCAAACCAAAUAUCUCUAGAAUAUGUCCUUUUCCAGCCUAACCCAGGGAUGACAGAUCCGAACACAAACUUGCAUUAUGAUAAUAUGUUGUAUGCUCAAGUAGAUGCUGUGUAUUCAGCGAUUAAAGCAAUGGGGCAUACAGAUAUUGAAGUUAUGAUUUCGGAGACAGGUUGGCCAUCUAAGGGGGAUCCUGAUGAGGUCGGAUCGACUCCAGAAAAUGCAGCUCUAUAUCAUAGUAAUCUGUUAAAUAGAAUUCAGGCGAGGCAAGGUACACCAGCAAAACCAUCUGUGCCGAUAGACAUAUAUGUUUUUGCGCUUUUUAACGAGAAUUUAAAGCCCGGUCCAACAUCUGAAAAGAACUAUGGACUCUUCUAUCCUGAUGGUACUCCAGUUUACAACAGUGGAUUGCAGGGCUAUCUUCCUGGAAUAGUUUAUUAUUCUUCAGCAUCCACUAUAAAUGAAUGGUCUAUCUUCAGCUUGGUGAUCUUUGUUAUGUCCGUACUUAAGAUCACCUGAAUUUUGUGCAAGGAGGGAGAGAUAAAAAACAAAAGCAUCACCCAACAAAUCGCACGGCCACGAAAUUUUUCUAGUUUUGUUUCAUAUUCAACAUGCGAUAACAUCAACCGAUACUUGAGCAUAAAGUGGGCUGGUGGCUUUCCACGUCAUGGACAACCUGCCUUCACAUUGGAUACCUUCUUCCAUCAGCAAUGGCCCCAGCAAGGAUAAGAUUGGCAGAUCAUAGGCGAUUCCACUUGACCAUUCGAUAGAGUAAACUAGCUAGCUACUACAACGUUUGAUUCCCAGCAAAUAUUUAAUGAGCUGCCAUUGCAGAACCUAUCAAAGCUCUCUCUCGAUGGUCCCAAAUGCCAGGAGACUAAGAAAUCCAAGUGGUUAUAGAUGAUACCGAUUGGUUUGAUCUUGUUUGGUACUCAGAGACCAUGUCAUGUUGAGGAAACACAGAGCAAGUGGUGCUAGCAAUUGGCUUUUAAUGGCAGUCACAUCCAUAACACGUCACCCCACCAGCAUUUGGUGGGCUGGCAACAGGAGAGAGAGAGAGAAUGGCAGCAAGGGUGGUCUUGUUUCUAUCACAGCCAUAUGACGAGAGAUGUUGUUUCUCAAUAUCUUUACCUCAAUGGUCUAGCAAAGCAUCUAUACAAGUUUCGUGUGUACUAAUAUUGAAGGAAUGGCAUUAAUCACUUACAUACCAGGAUGUUGCAUCCUGGAUUGAUAGUUCAUCUAUAGAUAUUAAUUAUAGAAAAUUCUGAGGCAACAAGGCGAAAUUAAGAUAGGUCUUCUUCUUUCUCAGAAAAAAUACAAAAAAAAUAAAAAAUCAAGUAGGGUUCUUAAAUUCAAAUGUCUAAUGAAAAGAAAGAACUUGGUGGAGAUGUUUAGGGUUCAACUAGUUUUGUUUUAUAGAAUUUUAGAAUUAAUUAUUAGUAAUAUUCUUGUGUAUACAUCACAUGCUUUAUUGGUAUCUCACCUUACUUUGUUGAAAA
RNA transcript from Populus trichocarpa (black cottonwood), 2294 nucleotides. It is a transcript of the gene named glucan endo-1,3-beta-glucosidase 14, with no coding region annotated. The record is from RefSeq and is a predicted model, not a curated record. Lineage: Eukaryota; Viridiplantae; Streptophyta; Magnoliopsida; Malpighiales; Salicaceae. The transcript has 5 exons.